Molecule: non-coding RNA, 344 nt
Organism: Penaeus vannamei (Pacific white shrimp)
Lineage: Eukaryota; Metazoa; Arthropoda; Malacostraca; Decapoda; Penaeidae
Source: RefSeq, a predicted model, not a curated record
GUGCGGGUUAGUGACGCCUUGGGUUGUGGGGAAUAUCGCCUUUAUGGCCCUUGAAGCCGUGUGUUGUAUGUACUCCAAUGUCCUCAGGAACCACAUCAAUAAGAAAUUUGAUGGAUUAUGUAAAGCGGAAAUGGCGUUUUAUAUUACAAGAUUUAUUCUCAAUUUCCUGUCGCUGUGGGCAGUGAUGAGGUUCUUCAGGAAUAUUCGAGCUGGCAUUACCUACAAGGAUCCUGAAGCCAUAGAACUCUGAAAGAAUAUCGACCAUCUGUUAGCAGUCGGUCCCUUCAAACCACCUCCUCUUCUCUUUUCACAUUUCUGUUCUUCUACCUGCAUCUCCUCUCUCU